GACGGAGGGGGCUAGCGUUGUUCGGAAUGACUGGGCGUAAAGGGCGCGUAGGCGGUUUUUUAAGUGAGGCGUGAAAGCCCUGGGCUUAACCCAGGAGGUGCGUUUCAUACUGGAAGACUAGAGUGCGAGAGAGGAAAGUGGAAUUCCUAGUGUAGAGGUGAAAUUCGUAGAUAUUAGGAAGAACACCUGUGGCGAAGGCGGCUUUCUGGCUCGCAACUGACGCUGAGGCGCGAAAGCGUGGGGAGCAAACAGG
This 253-nucleotide ribosomal RNA is filed under the name uncultured bacterium. Its description in RNAcentral is "partial 16S ribosomal RNA". It matches the Rfam family "Bacterial small subunit ribosomal RNA", at positions 524 to 776 of the family's 1533-position model. The record is from RNAcentral.